This 497-nucleotide ribosomal RNA is filed under the name uncultured bacterium. RNAcentral's name for it is "partial 16S ribosomal RNA". It matches the Rfam family "Bacterial small subunit ribosomal RNA", at positions 28 to 507 of the family's 1533-position model. The record is from RNAcentral.
GAUGAACGCUGGCGGCGUGCCUAAUACAUGCAAGUCGAGCGAACAGACGAGGAGCUUGCUCCUCUGACGUUAGCGGCGGACGGGUGAGUAACACGUGGAUAACCUACCUAUAAGACUGGGAUAACUUCGGGAAACCGGAGCUAAUACCGGAUAAUAUAUUGAACCGCAUGGUUCACUAGUGAAAGACGGUUUUGCUGUCUCUUAUAGAUGGAUCCGCGCCGCAUUAGCUAGUUGGGAAGGUAACGGCUUACCCAGUGGACGAUGGGUACCCGACCUGAGAGGGUGAUCGCACAACCUGGAACGGAGGCACGGUCAAGACCCCUACGGGAGGCAGACGUAGGGAAUCUUCCGCGAUGGGCGCAAGCCUGACGGAGCAACGCCGCGUGAGUGAUGAAGGUCUUCGGAUCGUAAAACUCUGUUAUUAGGGAGGAACAAAUGUGUAAGUAACUAUGCACGUCUUGACGGUACCUAAACAGAAAGCCACGGCUAACUACGUG